This 270-nucleotide ribosomal RNA is filed under the name uncultured bacterium. Its description in RNAcentral is "partial 16S ribosomal RNA". It matches the Rfam family "Bacterial small subunit ribosomal RNA", at positions 78 to 354 of the family's 1533-position model. The record is from RNAcentral.
CUUAUGCCGGCGACCGGCGGACGGGUGCGUAACGCGUAUGUAACCUACCUUUGACAGGGGGAUAACAUCGAGAAAUUGGUACUAAUACCCCAUAACAUCACCGGAGGCAUCUUCGGUGGUUGAAAACUCAGGUGGUCAGAGAUGGACAUGCGUUGUAUUAGCUAGUUGGUGAGGUAACGGCCCACCAAGGCGACGAUACAUAGGGGGACUGAGAGGUCAACCCCCCACAUUGGUACUGAGACACGGACCAACUCCUACGGGAGGCAGCAG